ACGUCGCCAUUGCUGGUCACACAUGAAAUGACGAAUGGGUCGUACGAGAAGGAGAGAUGAGAGUUGGGGUUUUUGGAAGAAAGGGUUAAGUUGAAAAGGGUUGAAAGAUGGGAAGAGGAGGAGUCGGCGGCGGUUUUGAGCUUCAAGCGGUGGAUACGGAGGGAAGCGAGGGUGAAUGAAGGGCGGUGAGGGCGGUAAAGGACGUAAAGGACGGUGCCAGUUAUGGCUGCUAAAAGGGCGAGCACGAGGACUAUGAGGAUGAUCCAGAAACAGCAGCAGCAACAGUAGUUGCGCCGUGGACGGUAGUUGCGACGUCUGUUAUGGGGCUGUGGACGGUAGGGUAGGCGGGCGGUGGGGUUAAUGAGGUGGGAUUUGGUAGUUCCGCCGUUGGUUGUGGUGGAG
This 402-nucleotide long non-coding RNA is filed under the name Gossypium barbadense (sea-island cotton). Its description in RNAcentral is "long non-coding RNA (GBAR_LNC017032)". The record is from RNAcentral. Lineage: Eukaryota; Viridiplantae; Streptophyta; Magnoliopsida; Malvales; Malvaceae.